CUGGAAAAGUCCUGGUGUUCAGAAACAAGACCCGCUUCUCUGAUUGCACGAGUCGGGCCACGCACCAUUUACUCCUUUGUGAGCUGUGAACGGCGAGGCUUUCACAUCGGACGGGCCGUGACAUUAACGUCCGUCUGUCACAGCGGUUAACACACAGGAGAACACAGAAAGCAUGUGAAUGCAGAGCAAACGCUGAGAGCUGAUUGUCCGGGCUCGGGGGGGUUUUAAUCUCCACAAUAAGAGCUAUAGAGCCGCCUCGGGUUUCACACGGCGCCUUUACUGCACAAAGCCUCCAGAUAAUAAGCACAAACCUGCAGGACUGAUGUCACCGCGUCAAACAGAGCCGAGCUCAGGAAAGGUCAGACCUGCUGCUCAAACACUGAGCAAACGCACACACAUGCACACACGCACACACACGCACAUGCGCACACACACACGCACGCACACACACAAACACACACACACGCUGCAUGAGGCAGCGUUGCGCUGGGACGGGUCCGGACCUCCAGGAUCAGAUCAGAACCUGUUCGGUCGUUCGGCGCCUGUUCUACACAGCUGCUGUUUCCAUCACAUGUUUCGAUCAAGUUACUGAAGCUGGUAUCACAACAGAACCACCAGAGCCAGUAACCGUGGUCACAGGAGUCAGGGGUCAGGGGUCGGGGGUCACAGCUUCUAAUCUACUGUCGACUGCGUCUCGCUCAAGGACACUUCAGGAGUCGGGGGAGGAGGACGGAGCUAAUCUGAGCAGAGCUGCAGCCUCGUCCACGUCUGCUCGGGUUCUGGCUCAUCGGCUCCAACAACACCGGGUCAAAAUGGAUCCAAACACACCGUCUGCUGCUGCUGCACUAGGACCGGGGUCACGUGUGGUGCAACAUGAUUACGAGAGAUUCAUCCAGAAGGUUGAAGGAGGAAACAUUUGAAGGAAAGUGCGAAGUUUGGCGUCAGACUGGAGCGCGGCGACGGCGGGACUGAGCGCUCAGACUCCCUUCAUCCCCGCCGCUUGAUCGCCCCGUGGACGCGCGGGGAGAGAGAGUGGGAGAGAAAGAGAGAAAGGGGAGCUGGAAACAAGGGGAGUAUCGCGAGGUUACGACUCAAGUCCCGCGGAGACACGCGCACACGCACGUUCAAAAACAGUUUAAGAGACAGGAUGGACUGUGCCGUUAUUAACACAUACACAUUCACUGUAAAGCUGUUGGUCUUUAGACCCAGCGCCAAACUUUUCAACACAGCAGAAGUUCGUUGUUGUCUCCUCAUGUGUUCACUGCGGUUCUGGUUCUGAUCAGACCUGAACCAGGUGAAUAUUCUGGUUCCUCCCACACAGACUAACACACUUCUCCUGCUCCAGCAGGUCCAGGUUUCCCGUGAGCCUGAACCGGAGUCUCCCCCUUGUGUUCGUCACCAGCUGUAAGAAGUUCGGCUCAACACAUCAACGGUCGCGUCCGAUCUCCACGUCGUAACCUUUAGUUUUCAUUGUAUUUAAGGAACCUAAGACACGUUAGAGCUCUGCAGCCGCUGCUCAGCUGUUUCUGAGGCCAGGGGUUAAAUCCGCCGGCAUGCGACACAUGAUCCUUAUCAGCCUGUGUGAAGCUGGACACCUGUCGGCGUGGGCUCCGUCCACGAAGCCAAACUGACACCAGCACCAGGCCCGCGGGGCACUGGAGGCUCCGGACCAGCAGACCGGGACCGAGAAACCAGAACGACCCGGAGACGGAACGAGGCGAAGAAAACGGCUCAUUUACUGGACAAAACGUCCCAGACUCAUAUGAAGGCGGUGUUUAAAAUGAAUGGAACAAAUCAGGAAGCUUUCAGGAGAGGAGUCAGUUUAUUACAGUCGGACUUUCAUUAGUUUCAUAAUAAACCAAAACACACAAACA
This 1874-nucleotide long non-coding RNA is filed under the name Betta splendens (Siamese fighting fish). RNAcentral describes it as "lncRNA (ENSBSLG00000003145.1)". The record is from RNAcentral. Lineage: Eukaryota; Metazoa; Chordata; Actinopteri; Anabantiformes; Osphronemidae.